Molecule: ribosomal RNA, 497 nt
Filed under: uncultured bacterium
Lineage: Bacteria
Description: partial 16S ribosomal RNA
Rfam family: Bacterial small subunit ribosomal RNA
Source: RNAcentral
GAUGAACGCUGGCGGCGUGCCUAAUACAUGCAAGUCGAGCGAACAGACGAGGAGCUUGCUCCUCUGACGUUAGCGGCGGACGGGUGAGUAACACGUGGAUAACCUACCUAUAAGACUGGGAUAACUUCGGGAAACCGGAGCUAAUACCGGAUAAUAUAUUGAACCGCAUGGUUCAAUAGUGAAAGACGGUUUUGCUGUCACUUAUAGAUGGAUCCGCGCCGCAGUAGCUAGUUGGUAAGGUAACGGCUUACCAAGGCGACGAUGCGUAGCCGACCUGAGAGGGUGAUCGGCCACACUGGAACUGAGACACGGUCCAGACUCCUACGGGAGGCAGCAGUAGGGAAUCUUCCGCAAUGGGCGAAAGCCUGACGGAGCAACGCCGCGUGAGUGAUGAAGGUCUUCGGAUCGUAAAACUCUGUUAUUAGGGAAGAACAAAUGUGUAAGUAACUAUGCACGUCUUGACGGUACCUAACCAGAAAGCCACGGCUAACUACGUG